RNAcentral lists this ribosomal RNA (484 nucleotides) under uncultured bacterium. RNAcentral describes it as "partial 16S ribosomal RNA". It matches the Rfam family "Bacterial small subunit ribosomal RNA", at positions 30 to 507 of the family's 1533-position model. The record is from RNAcentral.
AUUGAACGCUGGCGGAAUGCUUUACACAUGCAAGUCGAGCGGCAGCACGGGGGCAACCCUGGUGGCGAGCGGCGAACGGGUGAGUAAUACAUCGGAACAUGCCCAGUCGUGGGGGAUAACACUUCGAAAGAAGUGCUAAUACCGCAUACGUCCUGAGGGGGAAAGCGGUGGAUCGCAAGACCUCGCGCGAUUGGAUUGGCCGAUGUCAGAUUAGCUAGUUGGUGGGGUAAAGGCCUACCAAGGCAACGAUCUGUAGCUGGUCUGAGAGGAUGAUCAGCCACACUGGGACUGAGACACGGCCCAGACUCCUACGGGAGGCAGCAGUGGGGAAUUUUGGACAAUGGGGGCAACCCUGAUCCAGCCACUCCGCGUGAGUGAAGAAGGCCUUCGGGUUGUAAAGCUCUUUCGGCAGGAACGAAACGGUGAGCUCUAACAUAGCUUGCUAAUGACGGUACCUGAAGAAGAAGCACCGGCUAACUACGUG